GGACGAAGGUCCCAAGCGUUAUUCGGAAUCACUGGGCGUAAAGAGUACGUAGGCGGUUUGGUAAGUCAGGUGUGAAAUCCCGGAGCUCAACUCCGGAACUGCAUCCGAUACUGCCAGACUUGAGUUAUGGAGAGGCAGGUGGAAUUCUCGGUGUAGCAGUGAAAUGCGUGGAUAUCGAGAGGAAGACCAAUGGCGAAGGCAGCCUGCUGGACAUUUACUGCCGCUGAGGUACGAAGGCUAGGGGAGCGAAAGGGAUUAGAAACCCCAGUAGUCC
RNAcentral lists this ribosomal RNA (274 nucleotides) under uncultured bacterium. RNAcentral's name for it is "partial 16S ribosomal RNA". It matches the Rfam family "Bacterial small subunit ribosomal RNA", at positions 523 to 796 of the family's 1533-position model. The record is from RNAcentral.